UACGGGGGGGGUAAGCGUUGUUCGGAAUUACUGGGCGUAAAGGGCUCGUAGGCGGCCAACUAAGUCAGACGUGAAAUCCCUCAGCUUAACUGGGGAACUGCGUCUGAUACUGGAUGGCUUGGAUUCGGGAGAGGAAUGCGGAAUUCCAGGUGUAGCGGUGAAAUGCGUAGAUAUCUGCAGGAACACCCGUGGCGAAAGCGGCGCGCUGGACCACUACUGACGCUGAGGCGCGAAAGCCAGGGGAGCAAACGGG
Molecule: ribosomal RNA, 253 nt
Filed under: uncultured bacterium
Lineage: Bacteria
Description: partial 16S ribosomal RNA
Rfam family: Bacterial small subunit ribosomal RNA
Source: RNAcentral